Molecule: unclassified non-coding RNA, 1672 nt
Filed under: Hevea brasiliensis (rubber tree)
Lineage: Eukaryota; Viridiplantae; Streptophyta; Magnoliopsida; Malpighiales; Euphorbiaceae
Source: RNAcentral
AAACUUGUAAAUCCUUUGAUACUAUAUUUUUCCACAUCAUUUUAGGCCUCCCCCUUCCCCUUCUCAUUCCUUUCCCUACUAAUUUAUCACACUUUUGUAUUAGGACAUUUCAUUCUCUAUAUUGUACAUGAUCAAACCAUUUUAAAUGACCCUCUCAUUUUAUCUUCAAUAUGUGCAACAUGCAUUUUCUGGGGAAUUUAGUUCCUAAUCUUAUCUAUUAUCGUGUUACCAGAUAUUCAUCUUAACAUCAGCAUUUUUGCCACAUUCAUCUUGUGGGUAUGUUGUAUUUUAUACGCACAAUAUUCACUCCCAUACAACAUAGUUGGUCUGACCUAGUCCCACAGAACUUAUCUUUCACUUUGUUAGGAAUCUUUUGAUCACAAAAUACACCUGUCACAGUCCUCCAUAUAAUUACAUUAUCAUCCAAAACUUCAUUCUUUUAUAUGAUAGAACCUAGAUACUUGAAUUGUUUGCAUUAUGACACCAAAACUCUAUACAAACAAACCUCAUCUCCAUUUGUUCUAUGUGACUAAACUCACAUUGUAUAUAUUCCAUCAUACUUCUACUUAGCUUAAAACCACUACUCUUAAGAAUCCUUCUCCACAACUCCACCUUUUGAUUAACUCUUUCACUAGUUCCAUGUACUAAUAAAAUAUCAUCUGCAAAUAACAUGCACCAAGCGACAUCAUCUUGAAUAUAACUAGUCAGCUAUAUGAACAAAAGCAAACUGAAGAUAAAAUAGUACAUAACUUUAUGCCCCAUUCUGCUACUCUUUUGACCUUAAGCAACUAGGUUUACAAGCUAAAGUAUAUGCUCUUGAAGACCAUAUUUUGCAAUAGUAAUACUCCUUCUAGAAGCUUGCAAAUACUUAAUGAAGUUUUGAAUCCUAAGAUAUUCAGCUAGGCACACAUUCACAAAGCUUGAAAAGCUCUGCAUAAUUCCAAAAACCUAAAACCAUAAGCCAUCUCCAGCCCCCCUUGUAGCAUAUCAAUUAUACUUCACCCAGCCACCCUUCUUAAUUUGAAAAGAUUGAUGCCAAAUUAAUUCCAUAAAUCAAGAAGAAAUUUGGUAACACUCACAAGUUUUGGAGAAGAGGAUAGAUGGAGCAAAAGAAUUAUAAAGUUGCUAUUUCAAUGGAAGAAAUUGAUAGUCACAGAUUAUAGUAUACCGAUGAACCAACUGUUAGCCCUCCCCCAAAACCACCUUUCCAAGUAUUUUGCAACAUUUCACCAAUCUCCACCUCUAUUCCUCCCAUAUUUUAAAUGAAUUUUGUCCACUAAUACUCCAAUUGUGGUCAAAACAAGGCAUCUUCCCAGCCAUCUGCAUUUUAAGGUUCAUUGGGACACUCAAGUUUUCACUCAAUCAGAUGAUUUUGAAUCUAUCAUCCUUCUAGAAAGACAAAUCCCAUUCUAGUUUUUAAAUGGCCCUAGCAAAACAAUACAUAAUAAAUAUAACUCACUAAAAAGAAAAAAGCAGAUCGUGAAGGCUGGCAAAGAAAAGUUUCUGACAUUUAUGAACACACCUUGACUUUCAUAAAAUCAGCCUCUUUUCAAACCUCUAUAUCAUCAAAAACCAAUGAAUACUGAAUAAAACACCUAAGAGGAUACCAGUUGGCAAUUGGACAAACGACCAAGAGCCUACUUCAUCAUCAUUAUUGAUGGUAAAGGUAGAG